This 28-nucleotide non-coding RNA is filed under the name Cricetulus griseus (Chinese hamster). The record is from RNAcentral. Lineage: Eukaryota; Metazoa; Chordata; Mammalia; Rodentia; Cricetidae.
AAUAUUGAUCGGAUGUGUUCACUCAGCA